Molecule: long non-coding RNA, 1127 nt
Filed under: Strigops habroptila (Kakapo)
Lineage: Eukaryota; Metazoa; Chordata; Aves; Psittaciformes; Psittacidae
Description: lncRNA (ENSSHBG00005016584.1)
Source: RNAcentral
CUGAUUUACAGAUUUGCCAUUUACUGGAUUCCUUGUGAAUAACCAAGGAUAUUCUUUGCAAGUUCAGACAUGAUACAAGCACACAUGCACAGGAAAACCAAAGUCCACCGGUUACUUUUUGAUCCUUUCCAUUUUUUGUCCUUUCUGAAGAAGCUGGAAUCCGUGUGAGUCUCAGACUUUAUCCAGAAAUGAGUUCAUACACUGUGAGAGGACUCUUCACAAUCCUCAGCUCCUGAAUGUCUGAUGCUUCACAGCAUUUCUUGCAUAAUUCAUAUUAAAAGCAGAGUUACCAGCAGGGCAGUCAAGUGAGAAGCAUAUAAUGGCCUGUGAUCAUCAGACACAGCUUCCAGGGAACGGAAGCCAUAGGUUCAGCUUCUUGUAGUAGUAGCCAGAGGGAGCUGUUUGGAGACUUCUCCCAGGAGCUGACUUAGCGUAUCCUUCUUUUUGCCACACAGGACACCAAAGGGCACCCCUUCUGUCCCGUCUUCCAAAGGUAUACAGCAGCAAAUAGCAGCAAGUUUCGGUCAGCAUGUUGGCUGUUUGACAUGAGUAGCCAUGCUUACAGAAGUGACAUGUUCUUUUAUGGUUACAUCUGGGGGUACACGAGAGAGUCUCCUGACAUGCCAGUAACCUUAUUCACAGUCUGGAAAGUUCCACAGAGGAAGAAUGUAUACUAUUAAGUACAGCAGCCCUGUAAACCAGGAGACAUCAAUUAUUGCUUUGCAAAUGAUGUGCUGCGCUUCCUCGGGCAAAUCACUUUUAGGUGCUUUUUCCCCUCAUAUUCCCUCCAUCUACCUUGUAUAAAUCAGCCUCCAUCUCUUCUGAGCAGGGGAAAGUCUCCUUCCAUGGUCUAAGGACACUGACUGAGUCUGAGCCCAUUCACCAAAGUCCUUCCUCGUCCGGGAUCUCAAAUCUUUUCCUUUUUUUUUUUUUCCUUUUAUUUUUUUUCCCCUUUCUCUUUCCUCCUUGUGGAUCAGCCAGUCCCGACAUCAUUAAACUAUAGUCCUCCUCUUCCUCCUCCUUCCUUCUCCCCCUCGCUGUCUCCCCCCUCUUUUCUUUCUAUUUUUUUUUAUUUCAAAAAGGGGGAGCUGGGGAGGGGGGGUGUAGACAUAGCUGCAUGAAGUGGC